RNAcentral lists this unclassified non-coding RNA (635 nucleotides) under Hevea brasiliensis (rubber tree). Lineage: Eukaryota; Viridiplantae; Streptophyta; Magnoliopsida; Malpighiales; Euphorbiaceae. The record is from RNAcentral.
UCAAAGGAUUUACAAGUUUUAGAUAUAUGUAGACCUCAUGUCUAAUAAAACUAAAUGGCCAAAAAGAUCCAUAAGAAAAUAGGUUGUAUAAAAUAUACCUACAAAACAUAAGAAAAACAUAUGUACAAAAUAGGUUUUGGUUCAAUUUUUUAUGAAUCAAAACCGAACCAAAACAGUAAAUCUAAGUUUAGUUCUUACAGUAAGAGUUCUUUUUUGGUUCCGGUAUGGUACAAUUUCUUCAGCUUGGUUUGGAACAUCUAAAAACCGUGCACAGUCACACCUCGGUUCGGAACAUCUAGAAACUGUGCACAGUCACACCUAUUCAAUAGAUGCAUCUUAGGUCCACAGUAAUGGCAUCCAUCAUAUAUAAAGCACUUAACGCUGAGAAAUUCACAUUAUUUUUCAAAAAUUCAUUUUUGAAACAAAAUCCAGAAUCCUUGUAAAUAGUUUACUCCAAGUGUAUAAUUCCAGGACAAACAAGGAAAAGAUAAUAACUUGCAAGUUGGUAGAAUCAUUAGAGAUAAAGCAAUCUUAAGUAUUAAUUCUGCUACUAGUGCAUGUGUGUGUGUGUGAGUGCGUGUGUGAGUGCACGUGUGUGUGAGUGUGUGUGCGUGUGUGUAUAGAGAGAGAGAGAG